RNAcentral lists this ribosomal RNA (501 nucleotides) under uncultured bacterium. RNAcentral describes it as "bacterial SSU rRNA". It matches the Rfam family "Bacterial small subunit ribosomal RNA", at positions 19 to 518 of the family's 1533-position model. The record is from RNAcentral.
AUGGCUCAGGAUGAACGCUGGCGGCGUGCCUAAUACAUGCAAGUGAAACGGGUAUCUUCGGAUACCAGUCGCGGACGGGUGAGUAAUACAUAGGCAACCUGCCUUUAUGAGGGGGAUAACCGAGGGAAACUUUGGCUAAUACCGCAUGAAGACUCUAAGGCAUCUUAGAGGGAUAAAAGUUGGGAAACAACGCAUGAAGAUGGGCUUAUGGCGCAUUAGCUAGUUGGUGAGAUAGAAGCCCACCAAGGUAAUGAUGCGUAGCCGACCUGAGAGGGUGAACGGCCACAUUGGGACUGAGACACGGCCCAAACUCCUACGGGAGGCGGCAGUAGGGAAUUUUCGGCAAUGGGGGGAACCCUGACCGAGCAACGCCGCCGUGAAGGAAGAAGGUUUUCGGAUUGUAAACUUCUGUUAUAAGGGAAGAACGGAUUGGAUAGGGAAUGAUCUGAUAGUGACGGUACCUUAUUAGAAAGCCACGGCUAACUACGUGCCAGCAGCCGC